This is a non-coding RNA of Sphaeramia orbicularis (orbiculate cardinalfish), 600 nucleotides long. NCBI's taxonomy places the organism in Eukaryota, Metazoa, Chordata, Actinopteri, Kurtiformes, Apogonidae. The record is from the annotation of a RefSeq genome assembly.
AGGACAUUUAUUCCACAUCCUGACAAGAUGUUGGCGACCCUCUGCACUCUCAUCACUGCUCUAACAUGUGUGAGUGGUGUGACGGUGGUGACACAGAAACCUCCUGUUGUGACGGUGGUGAAAGGAGAGACAGUCACCAUGGACUGUAACUUAGGCAGUGUUACUAAUGGUAGUGCUCGCUGGUAUAAACAGAGUCCAGGAGGAGUUCCUCAGUUUAUACUCAGAUUUCAUCGCAGCUGGAACUCCCCAACCUAUGGUUCUGGGUUUUCAUCACCAAAAUUCACAUCUAAUCAUCAAUCUCAAACAGAUUAUCGAUUGAUCAUCAACAAUGUGCAGGAGGGAGACUCUGCAGUUUACUACUGUCAAACAUGGGAUAGCUCUGUUAAAGAUAAAGGACAUUUAUUCCACAUCCUGACAAGAUGUUGGCGACCCUCUGCACUCUCAUCACUGCUCUAACAUGUGUGAGUGGUGUGACGGUGGUGACACAGAAACCUCCUGCUGUGACGGUGGAGAAAGGAGAGACAGUCACCAUGGACUGUAACUUAGGCAGUGUUACUGGCAGUAGUUGUUACUGGUAUAAACAGAGUCCAGGAGGAGUUC